CACGCCGUAAACGGGGGGCGCUAGGUGUGGGGAGCAUUCCACGUUCUCCGCGCCGCAGCUAACGCAUUAAGCGCCCCGCCUGGGGAGUACGGCCGCAAGGCUAAAACUCAAAGGAAUUGACGGGGGCCCGCACAAGCGGCGGAGCAUGCGGCUUAAUUCGAUGCAACGCGAAGAACCUUACCUAGGCUUGACAGUUGGGGAAAUCUGGCAGAGAUGUCAGGUCCGCAAGGGCCCCAAAACAGGUGG
Molecule: ribosomal RNA, 246 nt
Filed under: uncultured Actinomycetales bacterium
Lineage: Bacteria; Bacillati; Actinomycetota; Actinomycetes; Actinomycetales
Description: partial 16S ribosomal RNA
Rfam family: Bacterial small subunit ribosomal RNA
Source: RNAcentral